AUGGACUUCGACCUGGAGCAGGCCGCCUACCGUGCCAUCCCUUCCGACCCGCGCGGCGACGACGACGACGAGGCGCCGGUGCUGGGCAACGCGCCGGCGGCGAGGUUCAGCGACAAAGAAAGGCUCUUGUUGCUUGUGGUAUUUUCUGUUGCACUGGUGGCGCUCAUGCUUUUCCCCGUGUACUACAUGGAGCAGGCCAACGUCGUGUCGUUCUCCGUCGGCGUCGCUGGCUACGAGGGCAUCGACCCGGCCAGGCCCGGCCGCGUGGUCUCACCGGCGUUCAACCUCACGCUGCGCAUGAACAAGACGUGCGCCGACCGCGCCGAGGUGGUCCUGACCUACUCCGGCGUCGCGCUCGGCUGGGCGCGCGUGGAGCCGCGCGGCUGCGUCUCCCGGGAGCCCUGGGGGAGGGGCGUGGAGGUGGUGGCCAGGGCCGACGGCGUGGGGCUCUCGGGGAGCGCAUGGCGUCGGAGUGGCGCCGCUCGGGGCGGGUGGAGCUCGACGUCGACGUGGCGGUCUACAGGGAGACCGGUGAAGGCCGGCGGUGGGGCUACCUCGGCGGCAACACCCUCGACAAGGUGA
RNAcentral lists this ribosomal RNA (582 nucleotides) under Triticum aestivum (bread wheat). RNAcentral describes it as "partial small subunit ribosomal RNA". The record is from RNAcentral. Lineage: Eukaryota; Viridiplantae; Streptophyta; Magnoliopsida; Poales; Poaceae.